This is a long non-coding RNA of Cephus cinctus (wheat stem sawfly), 1491 nucleotides long. RefSeq lists it as uncharacterized. Lineage: Eukaryota; Metazoa; Arthropoda; Insecta; Hymenoptera; Cephidae. The transcript has 3 exons. The record is from RefSeq and is a predicted model, not a curated record.
UUCCGUGAGUGUUCGUCCACGAGGCGCGUGGCUCUGCUUAUCAAUCAACCCGGUCGACCUACUCUCCGCUCUCGUAAAUACAAAUCAGCCGUCGCGAUACCGGGAUCGCGAGUUACGAUCAUUUGGGUGGUCCUCGUUGCGGACCAUCAAGGUGCCAAGCUCCAUUAUUAGACACGGGGAACGCGAGGAACGUGAAGGAACGUCCGAGCUGGCACACUAACAAUAAGAAACAGCAGAGAGUGUUACUGUUGAUGGGCAAGGUAUGCGAUCAUCGCGUGAAAUUGCCUCUACAGAUGGAAUAUCGAUGAGAUUUCAUGGAAGCGUACGAUAUACCCAUGGAGAACGGAUUGCAUAGUGAGAUAUUGGAUAGAUGGAUAAAUUAUGGCUACGGUGAGUGAUAAUGAUCCCGUUAUGCCUCCUUGUGCACGUGAACCUACCGAGGAUAUAAUGGCGAUGCCAGGACGAACCAAAGGGAUAUCCAGGAGCGCGCCCCGUAGUCCAGGGGCGUAGAAAAGAAGGGAUCCUAAAGGCCGCCUCGUCAUCCGUCAACUGUCAGACAUCCGCCCAAUCCUGCAGUCCGGCAUGAGAACCCGGGUAACCACCGCCCACGGACCUAAGGGCAAAUUACCCAAAGGGGCCUCACCUUGAUUCGUCCAUGUUUCAAAGGGAAUUCACCUACAGGAUCCUCGAAAGUCAAAUACCACUCGAAGGAGCCGCGUUUCGCAAACCAGCACAGCGACCCCCCGAAGAAUCCGAAACUAAGGAAAGACAGCGCUUUCGCAUUCCAUUCUAUAUAUACAUAUAUAUAACAAAAACCAAAAGAACGACCCCCCACAAGAUGUCGAUCCACGCAGCACAAGUGUACGAAAAAAGAAAAGUAGAAAACGAAAAGUUAUACCGAUCUUAAGGGCGGAAGGUAGCGGCGGAUCGAGACGCGCGGAAACACUGCAGGGUUAUGAAGUGCGAUGUUGAUGCGAUAGCAUAGUGAAGUGAAGGAAGGAAGGAAGGCGAGGGAAACGUGAAGCACACCAAGUCAGAAGGCACCCACACGUUCUCUCAGUGGGGUUCAAGUUCCAGUCGUGUGCGUCUAUACACACGAGGUAGCUCGUGUCCCUCCCGACAGACGAACACCAGGACAAGAGUGAGGAACCAUGGAGGAAGUUGGUGGGCAGGGAAAGGGCGGGGAGCGAAGAGGGAAGUUGCACGAGUUGGAUGGGCCCUGUUCCGCCGCUCCCUUGUUCAGGCACUGCAACCUGCGCCAGGGUAUCCUGGAAGGGAACCUACUGCUACACCUCCUCCUCGAGCGAUCCUGGCUAUUAUUGUUUGUUGGUCAAUUCCAGCUCAUUUCGGCGAGUGUUCUUCGAUUCGGAACUACCCUGGCUAUAUAUCCGUAAUUACGACCAGAGCGGGGAAUGCUUUUAGCGUACCGCCUCUCGCGGUGGAGACAGUCGUACGGAACGAGAAGGGCCAACGCGCGUGCAUGCCUGUCCU